RNAcentral lists this long non-coding RNA (775 nucleotides) under Homo sapiens (human). RNAcentral's name for it is "non-protein coding lnc-CEBPZOS-4:1". Lineage: Eukaryota; Metazoa; Chordata; Mammalia; Primates; Hominidae. The record is from RNAcentral.
AUGAUGGAUCGAUAGUUGCAGUCCAGCUUCGUACUACAAAUGAGUGCCAUAAAACCUACUAUACUUGUCACACAGGUUUUAAGAUGUUGCAAGAAUUGUCAUCAAAUGACAUGCUUUUACUUCAACUUAGAACUGGAAGGACACUUUCUAGGAACAAUACAAUUUGCUUUCAUCACAUAAAAAUUUAUAUUGACAGAUUUGAGGAUUUACAGAAGUCGUGUUGUGACCCAUUUAACAUACACAAAAAACUAGCCCCCCAGAAUUUGCAUGUAAUUGACUUAGAUGAUGCCACUUUUCUGAGUGCAAAAUUCGGAAGACCGCUUGUACCUGGUUGGAAGCUUUGUCCAAAAUGCACGCAGAUAAUCACGGAAGUGUGGAUGUUGAUUCUGAAGACCGCCAGAGAAGCAAACCUGAGUCAGAUGGAAGAACUGCUAAAGUUUUGAGGUCAUUACAAUUUACAAAUCCAGGAAGGCAAACUGAAUUUGCUCCAGAAACUGGUAAAAGAGAAAAAAGAAGGCUUAAAAAAAUGCAACCGCUGGUUCAGACAGACGAGUGAUACCAGCGAAGACUAAGGUCUAUGAUAGCCAGGGUCUCCUGAUUUUUAUUGGGAUGGACCUCGAUGCCUCGAUGAAGAUUGUUUAGGAUGUUUCUAUGCUUGUCGUGCCUGUGGUUCUACCAAGUGUGGAGCUGAAUGCCACUGUGACCGCAAGUCACAAAGUAUGAGCAAACUGAAAUUGAAGGAGGAGAAAUAAUUCAUUAUAAACAUGCUGGAUAA